This 599-nucleotide ribosomal RNA is filed under the name Bacillus sp. S4.CEL.009. RNAcentral's name for it is "bacterial SSU rRNA". It matches the Rfam family "Bacterial small subunit ribosomal RNA", at positions 18 to 600 of the family's 1533-position model. Lineage: Bacteria; Bacillati; Bacillota; Bacilli; Caryophanales; Bacillaceae. The record is from RNAcentral.
CCUGGCUCAGGACGAACGCUGGCGGCGUGCCUAAUACAUGCAAGUCGAGCGGACGGAUGGGAGCUUGCUCCCUGAAGUCAGCGGCGGACGGGUGAGUAACACGUGGGCAACCUGCCUGUAAGACUGGGAUAACUUCGGGAAACCGGAGCUAAUACCGGAUAAUGCACAGCCUCUCAUGAGGCUAUGCUGAAAGAUGGUUUCGGCUAUCACUUACAGAUGGGCCCGCGGCGCAUUAGCUAGUUGGUGAGGUAACGGCUCACCAAGGCAACGAUGCGUAGCCGACCUGAGAGGGUGAUCGGCCACACUGGGACUGAGACACGGCCCAGACUCCUACGGGAGGCAGCAGUAGGGAAUCUUCCGCAAUGGACGAAAGUCUGACGGAGCAACGCCGCGUGAGUGAUGAAGGUUUUCGGAUCGUAAAACUCUGUUGUCAGGGAAGAACAAGUGCCGGAGUAACUGCCGGCACCUUGACGGUACCUGACCAGAAAGCCACGGCUAACUACGUGCCAGCAGCCGCGGUAAUACGUAGGUGGCAAGCGUUGUCCGGAAUUAUUGGGCGUAAAGCGCGCGCAGGCGGUCUCUUAAGUCUGAUGUGAAAG